Dama dama (fallow deer) is the source of this 513-nucleotide long non-coding RNA. RefSeq lists it as uncharacterized. The record is from RefSeq and is a predicted model, not a curated record. The transcript is spliced from 3 exons. NCBI's taxonomy places the organism in Eukaryota, Metazoa, Chordata, Mammalia, Artiodactyla, Cervidae.
CUAACUUUCCAGCUACACAAACUUCCCACCCAGUGGCCGGAUGGAUUCCUGUGGCUUUGUCCAUUGAGGAGACCGAGAGACCGCUAAUAGGAACUGGGUUGGAAAGGUGAAGAUUCAGGGAAGACUGGGAAGCAGCCUCAGAAUUUUACGGGAGUUAAUGCUUUUCUCAGUAUGUACCAUGCUGACAGCUUCCAGUCAAGAAGUGACUCCUCACGCAUCUGUCACCAUAGUUUAUGUGGACCACAACACCAUCAUGCCCACCGAAUUUAACCAGGACCCUCGAAACCAAAGAGUGUAUCGGAGAGAGAGGGGAGAGACCGCAAAGUCUGCAGCCAGGAAGGUAAGAAGAGGACGCUGUGGGAGCAAUAUCAGAAGCUCUGGAAACAGGAGGACGGGGAGAGGCAGGGCUAGUGUCGUCCGCGGAGAGGAGGGCAGGAGCAGAGCCAGCGAGGGGCCCUGAGUGGGGCGUCGGCGGAGCUGCUGCAGACAGCUGGAACUGCCGCUGACCUGGGA